RNAcentral lists this ribosomal RNA (785 nucleotides) under Pediococcus acidilactici. Its description in RNAcentral is "bacterial SSU rRNA". It matches the Rfam family "Bacterial small subunit ribosomal RNA", at positions 52 to 833 of the family's 1533-position model. Lineage: Bacteria; Bacillati; Bacillota; Bacilli; Lactobacillales; Lactobacillaceae. The record is from RNAcentral.
UGCUUGCACUGAAUGAGAUUUUAACACGAAGUGAGUGGCGGACGGGUGAGUAACACGUGGGUAACCUGCCCAGAAGCAGGGGAUAACACCUGGAAACAGAUGCUAAUACCGUAUAACAGAGAAAACCGCCUGGUUUUCUUUUAAAAGAUGGCUCUGCUAUCACUUCUGGAUGGACCCGCGGCGCAUUAGCUAGUUGGUGAGGUAACGGCUCACCAAGGCGAUGAUGCGUAGCCGACCUGAGAGGGUAAUCGGCCACAUUGGGACUGAGACACGGCCCAGACUCCUACGGGAGGCAGCAGUAGGGAAUCUUCCACAAUGGACGCAAGUCUGAUGGAGCAACGCCGCGUGAGUGAAGAAGGGUUUCGGCUCGUAAAGCUCUGUUGUUAAAGAAGAACGUGGGUGAGAGUAACUGUUCACCCAGUGACGGUAUUUAACCAGAAAGCCACGGCUAACUACGUGCCAGCAGCCGCGGUAAUACGUAGGUGGCAAGCGUUAUCCGGAUUUAUUGGGCGUAAAGCGAGCGCAGGCGGUCUUUUAAGUCUAAUGUGAAAGCCUUCGGCUCAACCGAAGAAGUGCAUUGGAAACUGGGAGACUUGAGUGCAGAAGAGGACAGUGGAACUCCAUGUGUAGCGGUGAAAUGCGUAGAUAUAUGGAAGAACACCAGUGGCGAAGGCGGCUGUCUGGUCUGUAACUGACGCUGAGGCUCGAAAGCAUGGGUAGCGAACAGGAUUAGAUACCCUGGUAGUCCAUGCCGUAAACGAUGAUUACUAAGUGUUGGAGGGUUU